GAUGAACGCUGGCGGCGUGCCUAACACAUGCAAGUCGAACGGACCCUUCGGGGUUAGUGGCGCACGGGUGAGGAACACGUAGCUUACCUGCCCUCUACACUGAGAUAACUCUGCGAAAGCAGAGCUAAUAUCGGAUAAGCUCACGGGGAAUAGAAUCUUUGUGAGAAAAGCUCCGGCGGUAGAGGAGGGGGCUGCGGCCCAUCAGCUAGUUGGUGAGGUAAUGGCUCACCAAGGCGACGACGGGUAGGGGACCUGAGAGGGUGACCCCCCACACUGGGACUGAGACACGGCCCAGACUCCUACGGGAGGCAGCAGUGAGGGAUAUUGCUCAAUGGGCGCAAGCCUGAAGCAGCGACGCCGCGUGGACGAUGAAGGUCUUCGGAUCGUAAAGUCCUUUUCUGUGUGACGAGGAAGGACGGUAGCACAGGAAUAAGUGUCGGCUAACUACGUGC
RNAcentral lists this ribosomal RNA (452 nucleotides) under uncultured bacterium. RNAcentral's name for it is "bacterial SSU rRNA". It matches the Rfam family "Bacterial small subunit ribosomal RNA", at positions 28 to 508 of the family's 1533-position model. The record is from RNAcentral.